Molecule: small RNA, 31 nt
Filed under: Arabidopsis thaliana (thale cress)
Lineage: Eukaryota; Viridiplantae; Streptophyta; Magnoliopsida; Brassicales; Brassicaceae
Description: ATSL035650
Source: RNAcentral
GCUAGUUAUAAGAGUUAGAGAUGGAUUAUAG